CCUACGGGUGGCAGCAGUGGGGAAUAUUGCACAAUGGGGGAAACUCUGAUGCAGCGACGCCGCGUGAGUGAAGAAGUAAUUCGUUACGUAAAGCUCUAUCAGCAGGGAAGAAAAUGACGGUACCUGAGUAAGAAGCACCGGCUAACUACGUGCCAGCAGCCGCGGUAAUACGUAGGGGGCAAGCGUUAUCCGGAUUUACUGGGUGUAAAGGGGGCGUAGACGGUGUGCCAAGUCUGGAGUGAAAUGCCGGAGCUUAACUGCGGAACUGCUUUGGAAACUGUCGAACUAGAGUGCAGGAGGGGUAAGCGGAAUGCCUGGUGUAGCGGUGAAAUGCGUAGAGAUUAGGAGGAACACCGGUGGCGAAGGCGGCUUACUGGACCGUAACUGACGUUGAGGCUCGAAAGCGUGGGGAGCAAACAGGAUUAGAUACCCUAGUAGUC
Molecule: ribosomal RNA, 440 nt
Filed under: uncultured bacterium
Lineage: Bacteria
Description: partial 16S ribosomal RNA
Rfam family: Bacterial small subunit ribosomal RNA
Source: RNAcentral